UACGGGGGGGGCAAGCGUUGUUCGGAAUUACUGGGCGUAAAGCGCACGUAGGCGGUAUUGAAAGUUGGAUGUGAAAUCCCUCGGCUUAACCAAGGAAGUGCAUCCAAAACUCCAGUACUUGAGUACUUAAGAGGAUCGCGGAAUUCCCGGUGUAGAGGUGAAAUUCGUAGAUAUCGGGAGGAACACCAGUGGCGAAGGCGGCGAUCUGGGAAGAUACUGACGCUGAGGUGCGAAAGCGUGGGGAGCAAACAGG
Molecule: ribosomal RNA, 253 nt
Filed under: uncultured bacterium
Lineage: Bacteria
Description: partial 16S ribosomal RNA
Rfam family: Bacterial small subunit ribosomal RNA
Source: RNAcentral